GAUCUCUAGUUAAAGCCAUUGGUGGAUGCCUUGGCGUCAUAUGGCGAUGAAGGACGCAGCAAGCUGCGAUAAGCCUCGGGGAGCGGCAAACACGCUUUGAUCCGGGGAUUUCCGAAUGGGGAAACCCAAUGCCGGUAAUGCGGCAUUACUUCCAGCUGAAUAUAUAGGCUGGAUAGAGCGACACGCGGUGAAGUGAAACAUCUCAGUAACCGCAGGAAAAGAAAGAGAAUCGAUUCCGUAAGUAGCGGCGAGCGAAAGCGGAACAGCCCAAACCAAGAGGAUUUAUCCUCUCGGGGUUGUAGGACUAUAAUGUGAGGAGCAACGGAUAGACAAACACUCUGGAAAGGGUGACCAUAGAGGGUGACAGUCCCGUAGUUGAAAUCCCGCGCCGAUCUAAUAGUAUCCUGAGUAGCACCGGACACGUGAAACCCGGUGUGAAUCUGCGCCGACCACGGCGUAAGGCUAAAUACAAGAUGACGACCGACAGUGAACUAGUACCGCGAGGGAAAGGUGAAAAGCACCCCUGUUAGGGGAGUGAAAUAGUAACUGAAACCGAUGGCUAACAAAUCAGUAGGAGCCGCCUUGUGCGGUGACUGCCUGCCUUUUGUAUAAUGAGUCUGCGAGUUUAUGUCCGUAGCAAGCCUAAGCUGCUAAGCAGUGGAGGCGUAGCGAAAGCGAGUCUGAAUAGGGCGAUUGAGUUGCUGGCAUAAGACCCGAAGGGGAGGUGAUCUUACCAUGACCAGGUUGAAGCGUUAGUAAAAUAACGUGGAGGACCGAACCGGUGUAGCUUGAGAACUGCUCGGAUGAGUUGUGGUAAGGAGUGAAAGGCUAAUCAAACCCCCUGAUAGCUGGUUCUUUCCGAAAUAUAUUGAGGUAUAGCGUCGAGCGCUGACCUGUGGAGGUAGAGCACUGAAUAAGCUAGGGCCCCUACCGGGGUACUGAACUUUAUCAAACUCCGAAUGCCACAGGGUGAAGCUCGGCAGUCAGACUUAGGGUGCUAACGUCCUAAGUCGAGAGGGCAACAACCCAGACCAUCAGUUAAGGUCCCUAAAUGUGGCUCAGUGGUAAAGGAUGUGAUUUUACUUAGACAAUGGGGAUGUUGGCUUAGAGGCAGCCAUCAUUUAAACAGUGCGUAACAGCUGACCCAUCGAGUGAAAUUGCGCCGAAAAUGAUCGGGACUUAAGCCACAUACCGAAGCUAUGGAUUUCAGUUCUUCGGAACUGGAGUAGUAGGAAAGCGUUCCAAGUGCAGCGAAGGAGAAGGGGCAACCGACUCUGGAGCGCUUGGAAGUGAGAAUGCAGACAUGAGUAACGAUAAAGAUGGUUAAAGUCCAUCUCGCCGUAAGGAUAAGGUUUCCUGGGGAAGGCUCGUCCUCCCAGGGUUAGUCGGGAGCUAAGAUGAGGCCGUAAGGAGUAAUCGAUGCACAGAAGGUUAAUAUUCCUUCACCGGCUUGCAACUAUUCCCAGAGUGCGGAUCGACGGACCCUACAGACCUGUUUUGACAAGGCACUGCAAAGCUACGGCUGCGUGGGUGUAGGGAAAGAAGGUUCCAAGAAAAGCUCUGGAAUUACUAUGCAGGUCGCUCGUACCGCAAACCGACACAGGUAUCCGGGAUGAGUAUUCUAAGGCGCGCGAGUUAAAUCUCUCUAAGGAACUCGGCAAAUUGGCCCCGUAUCUUCGGUAUAAGGGGUGCCCCUCUAGGGGGGUCGCAGUUAAUAGCGUCAACCGACUGUUUAGCAAAAACACAGCUCUCUGCAAAGUCGCAAGACGACGUAUAGGGAGUGACACGUGACCAAUGCGAAAAGGUGAAAACCUGGGGUGCAAGCUCCGGGUCUAAGCCCUCGUGAAUGUCGGCCGUAACUAUAACGGUCCUAAGGUAGCGAAAUUCCUUGUCGGGU
This 1897-nucleotide ribosomal RNA is filed under the name seawater metagenome. RNAcentral's name for it is "bacterial LSU rRNA". It matches the Rfam family "Bacterial large subunit ribosomal RNA", at positions 1 to 1977 of the family's 2925-position model. The record is from RNAcentral.